RNAcentral lists this ribosomal RNA (497 nucleotides) under uncultured bacterium. RNAcentral's name for it is "partial 16S ribosomal RNA". It matches the Rfam family "Bacterial small subunit ribosomal RNA", at positions 28 to 507 of the family's 1533-position model. The record is from RNAcentral.
GAUGAACGCUGGCGGCGUGCCUAAUACAUGCAAGUCGAGCGAACAGACGAGGAGCUUGCUCCUCUGACGUUAGCGGCGGACGGGUGAGUAACACGUGGAUAACCUACCUAUAAGACUGGGAUAACUUCGGGAAACCGGAGCUAAUACCGGAUAAUAUAUUGAACCGCAUGGUUCAAUAGUGAAAGACGGUUUUGCUGUCACUUAUAGAUGGAUCCGCGCCGCAUUAGCUAGUUGGUAAGGUAACGGCUUACCAAGGCAACGAUGCGUAGCCGACCUGAGAGGGUGAUCGGCCACAUUGGAACUGAGCCACGGUCCAGACGCCUACGGGAGGCAGCAGUAGGGAAUCUGCCGCAAUGGGCGAAAGCCUGACGGAGCAACGCCGCGUGAGUGAUGAAGGUCUUCGGAUCGUAAAACUCUGUUAUGAGGGAAGAACAAAUGUGUAAGUAACUAUGCACGUCUUGACGGUACCUAAUCAGAAAGCCACGGCUAACUACGUG